This is a long non-coding RNA of Cavia porcellus (domestic guinea pig), 434 nucleotides long. RefSeq lists it as uncharacterized. The transcript is spliced from 2 exons. NCBI's taxonomy places the organism in Eukaryota, Metazoa, Chordata, Mammalia, Rodentia, Caviidae. The record is from RefSeq and is a predicted model, not a curated record.
CUAUUUCCUGGUAGUUUUCUUUAAAAGAAUGGUGUUGAGAUCUCCUUUGAACUAGACAGAGUAGUCUCACUAUGUGGUUCAGGCUGGCCUUCAACUCUCUACAAUCCUCCUGCCUCUGCCUCCUGAAUACUGGUAUUACAGGCAAGUGCCACCACACCCAGCCUGAAUCUGUCUUAAUGGGGCACAAUGAUAAGAAAAGUACACAGUCCCCGACUUCUGGUGACCUCAGUCUAGUGAGGAAGAGACAGUGACCACGUGAAUGAAGCAGAGAUCAUAACUGCGGCUAUGAGAAGCGCUGUAAAGGAAGUGAAGGCUGCGAUGAAAACAUAGGGCCUGAGGAGGGGCCUCCGGGAGCGCCUGCAACACAGGGAUCCUGUGGGACAUUGGCACCCCAGCAGCACACUGGAAUAAAAAGGUUAUGGAGGCUGCCACAA